RNAcentral lists this non-coding RNA (20 nucleotides) under Arabidopsis thaliana (thale cress). The record is from RNAcentral. RNAcentral also lists the same sequence under 1 other name. Lineage: Eukaryota; Viridiplantae; Streptophyta; Magnoliopsida; Brassicales; Brassicaceae.
GGCUCUUCCUAUCAUUGUGA